Micropterus dolomieu (smallmouth bass) is the source of this 3421-nucleotide long non-coding RNA. RefSeq lists it as uncharacterized. Lineage: Eukaryota; Metazoa; Chordata; Actinopteri; Centrarchiformes; Centrarchidae. The record is from RefSeq and is a predicted model, not a curated record. The transcript has 2 exons.
UUUACGCUGGCUGGCCUGAAGGGGGCGAUGCUGAUUGUGACGCAUCAUUACAGCUUCAUCCGGAGACACGCACCCUCGGUUGGGCAGUCUGCUGUAACCAUUCCCCUGGCUUCCACUGUUGCCAAAGAUGUCGCGAGUUGUCGACACAUUCGCUGCCAUUGUGUGAUGUGAAGCUGAGGGGGCUUUGGGGCACUUCACGAAGGCAAUGUCGAUAGAUGAAUCUGAAGAGGCAGAGGAGCAGCGGUCGAACGUGGGGACAUCAUGAAAGGAGCCUCCGUCCUCUUCAUAUAGGCUCUCCAUCCCUGGGGGAUCCGGAGGGAGAAGAAACUCUCCAAGAGCAUCGGCCAGAGCAGAGCCCGGUUGAACAUGACGGAAGUCUGCGGGUCUGGAGGGAAGAUGACGCUGGCACGACAUGGUCCUCUCAGAUGCCUCACUCUCUGGGAUACUGCCAAGACCUGAAAGCCAAAGGCUGUCACGUCGCUUCCUGUCCUGAUGUCUCCUGCACUGUCCCCAUCCCUUAUGUGUUACCUCCAGGAAGGCAGAAGAUUUCACAGAGCUGGAGGAAAGCAUGGUGACGACUGACAGACAGUCCGGAAGCUCCUUCAGGUAGGACACAUAAAAGUCCAAGAAAUCACUCUGCAGGGAGACAGAGAGAGAUCCUGUCUGUGUUUGCAUGUACGUUUUCAUGCACCAUCCACGCACACUUUCUACUUUCUCCUCCCUUCAUUGUCAGUCUUUUGAGACUGAUUAGACUGUAAACAGCAGAUCAUGAUGCCCGUGUGUGGAUAGAAAAACAGUUAGACAAACACAGUCGAGCUUAAUGUAAGCUUCCAGCUGUCAUUCAAGUUAACUAUUUAAAAUUUUGCUGAUUUAAAACAAUUCACUCAUUUGUUUUAUGAUAUUUGUGUUCUGCUGAGGUGAGAUAUUUUCAGAAACCUCACUGGAAGUUUCAGGGCUCCCUCAAAUUCCCAUUAAAUAUAAGCACAUACAACAACCUAAACAAAUAAAAGACCUAUGAAAUGAAAAUCAAGGAAAAAAACUAUUUCAAAAAACAGUAUAAUUACAUAUUUUGACAUAAUAGAAUGUUUUAAAAAUAUAAAGCUUGUAAUUAGAUGAUUCCUGUAAUUUCUUUUCUGCUAUUUUUCUCCCUCAAGCUCAAUGCAGGAGGGCUCAUAAUACAUUGUGAAUCUGCAUUUAUAUUUUCUAAAUAGGCAGGUGUUUCUACCAAUUACUGCAUUUCCCCCCAUUCACUGUAAUGAGUCUAUUCUAUUAAAGCCAAUUAUACAUUCGCUUUGUAUUGUAUUAUACUCCAGCAGUGUAUUGCGUCUGCUUUUGGCUUUCAGCUGAUGUUUGGAUGCCACUAGCACCUUUCUAUAUGUUACAACACAAUAUAACCUUGUUUUUUACUUUCGGUAAAAGAUUUUUGAUACUUUAAAUCCAUAUGUCCCUGGAGCAUUUAGAUUUUUACACUACUGACAUUAUUGUGGCAAAUUGAAUUCCUAAUGUUGUCUGGCUGGAGGUCCCCUGAAAAGAGGGGGGAAAGGAAGUCCUGAAGUGCACUCACAGGUUUUCACAGAAAUAAAAUGUUUUAUAUAUACAAAAAUCACCAUUUAGUAUAUAAUGCCUGUAGGGGUUCAAGUCUUUCUGAGAAUUUUAAUUUUGUCACAUAAGGACUAGUAUUCUUAUUUUGUCAUCAGUUAUUUUGCACACUGAUUACUAGAAUCAUUCUUGUCUUUGUACUAUAUCUGUAUUCCAGCUCUCAACAUGGCUCUACUGGAAUUUGACAUUUUAUUUCAUGUCCGUCAUGGCUGCCAAAGCGUUUCAGAGUCAUUAUAAUUGGCCAGUCACAAGACCGAACCUUUUGACCCUUCCAUAUUAACUAGACUGGAACAGCAGUGAGCAUUGUGAAUGUCAAGUUUUUGAUUUACAAGCAAGUAAACUUGAGGUCCAGAUCUUUUAUAUAGUAUAAUAUAGUUGUUAAAGUCGCCACAGGAAUACCAGAUACAUCAACAAUGUGCUGAUUCAAUUCUGUGGUCAUUUUAGAGGCUGUGGUUUGUGGUGGUGGUGGUGUAUUGAACAGCAUUAUACAAAAAACAUUUCUUUAAUAUAUUUUCCACAGUGGCCAAACACAAAAAAAGGGCACAGAAGUGAAAUGAUCUGUUGCAAAUGCAGGGAUAGCGUGGUCACACACAGGCUGUAUUUUUCAGUCAAGCUUUUUGCUUUUAAAAAGGGGGGGACAUGCAUCUGUAACACUUAUUGCCAACAGGUGACACAGGUGUCAAGAUUUUAGAGGUAUUUAUUUUGUUUAGCAGUAGAUGGUGCAUAUUGACAUGUCUUCAUAAAUAUCAGCAGAAAACAAUCGUCUGGUGAAAUGCUUCCCUAUUAUGUGUUAAUAAUGUACACACAGUUUGGAGACUUAACACCAAAAUGAACAGCUGAAUAUUGUUUGAUGAAUCCAAUCUCAGGUUUAAAAAAAAAAAAAAGAGAAUAACUAUUCCAGUAUAGUUUGAUACUGAUGCAACUGCUAAUGUGAUUAAAGCUUGCGGUUUUCCUUACUGCAGGCCAAUACGGCGCCUGUAUGCAGACACCAGAGCAGCAACCCAAGCUAGCACAAGUAUCUUUAUGGACUAUCCAAAGCAACUGAACUUGGUUGAAGAUCAUUGUUAGUAUUUCAGGAUUUCUAAUAUCAUCAACCAAGUCCAGUUGCCCUUGAUUUUAACCUUUGGAUAACUAUGACCUGGAGGACUGAGAACCUUCACAGACAUCUUUAUGAACUACUGUCUGUGGGUCAAAAGUAAUUGCUACUUUUUGACCUCACAUUGUUCAAACAAUUCUAACAUUCAAACUCAAAUUCUGUGUUUGUUGUUUACCUCUUUGCUGGUGAGCCUCAUAAACACAUCCCCCAUGAUGCCUUGCCACUGGCUCUUGAGCACACGUUCCUGGAGAGUAUGGAGGAGCUCAAGGUGCUGCUGGAUCAGAAACCUGAGAGAGCUGGGAAAUGGACUAAAGACGGCGAGAAAGAGAGAAGAGGAGAGGAUAGAAAUCAAUUACAGAGACUACUUGAAUGAAAUAAGUUCUCUUACAGAAUAAUUACAUAAAAACUGACUUUUUUUUGGAGACAAAUUUUGUCAUGUUGAAGAGACGACUUAAAAAGGAUGCAUUUUCAGCUUCCAGAAACGGCUCAUAUACAGAAGUUAUUGUAAACAACCUUCAUCUUUGUACUUUUAUAUAAUAUACUAAACUUCCUGGUAAUUAUUGUACCAUCUUGCGUGACAGACAUCUGGCAGCAGACAAAUGAGGUUAAAACAAAUGCAAUAAUUUACAAAUCCCAUUGGACCUGCUUCAGAAUUUGCACCUUUUCAUUGGUGCUGUUUGUCACUGGAAACAUGUGUGCUGAAAUAAACACUGAUUACAUUAGCAA